GAAGAACAGUCCCAGUUUUUGUCUCCCAUGCUUUUAGUUAUUCACAGAAACUUGAGGUAAGAAGAUGUAAUUGACUCAAGAGAGUCAAAGAAGGAUUUAGGAAUAAAAACAGAUUCAGGUAACUUGGUCGGCAUGUAUGAGUUGGGCCGAAGGACCCGUUUCCGUGCUGUAUUGCUCCCUGACUCUAUUUCCAACAUAUGUAGUAUUUUGCAUUCUGUUUUUUUUAAAGCAAUCCCUGGAACUUAUUUGAACUUUCCUCUAUCAACAUUCAUAGCUGUAUUAUGACACAAUUUGUCACUUUUUUCUUUCCAUUUUAUCUCUAGAAGAUUCAUUAUUGUCUCACAAUAUUUUGUUUAAUUUCCUCUUCACAGCACAUUCUAUUCCUAGAGCUCUCUAAUCCAAAAUGAUAGUCUGAAACACAAGUUUAUAUAAGUGAAUUAUUCAC
This is a long non-coding RNA of Pristis pectinata (smalltooth sawfish), 445 nucleotides long. RefSeq lists it as uncharacterized. The record is from RefSeq and is a predicted model, not a curated record. NCBI's taxonomy places the organism in Eukaryota, Metazoa, Chordata, Chondrichthyes, Rhinopristiformes, Pristidae. The transcript has 3 exons.